RNAcentral lists this ribosomal RNA (445 nucleotides) under uncultured bacterium. Its description in RNAcentral is "bacterial SSU rRNA". It matches the Rfam family "Bacterial small subunit ribosomal RNA", at positions 354 to 796 of the family's 1533-position model. The record is from RNAcentral.
GUUAGGAAUAUUGGUCAAUGGACGAAAGUCUGAACCAGCCAUGCCGCGUGGAGGAUGAAGGUCCUCUGGAUUGUAAACUUCUUUUAUAUGGGACGAAAAUGGGGCUUUCUAGCUCAACUGACGGUACCAUAUGAAUAAGCACCGGCUAACUCCGUGCCAGCAGCCGCGGUAAUACGGAGGGUGCAAGCGUUAUCCGGAUUCACUGGGUUUAAAGGGUGCGUAGGUGGAUUGGUAAGUCAGAGGUGAAAUCUCCGGGCUCAACUCGGAAACUGCCUUUGAUACUAUCAAUCUUGAAUAUUGUGGAGGUUAGCGGAAUAUGUCAUGUAGCGGUGAAAUGCUUAGAUAUGACAUAGAACACCAAUUGCGAAGGCAGCUGGCUACACAUAUAUUGACACUGAGGCACGAAAGCGUGGGGAUCAAACAGGAUUAGAAACCCUAGUAGUCC